CAGUAGCCGCGGUAAAACGUAGGGUGCAAGCGUUAAUCGGAAUUACUGGGCGUAAAGCGUGCGCAGGCGGUUAUAUAAGUCAGAUGUGAAAUCCCCGGGCUCAACCUGGGAACUGCAUUUGAGACUGUAUGGCUAGAGUGUGUCAGAGGGGGGUAGAAUUCCACGUGUAGCAGUGAAAUGCGUAGAUAUGUGGAGGAAUACCGAUGGCGAAGGCAGCCCCCUGGGAUAACACUGACGCUCAUGCACGAAAGCGUGGGGAGCAAACAGGAUUAGAUACCCCCGUAGUCCCUGUCUCUUAUAC
This 301-nucleotide ribosomal RNA is filed under the name uncultured bacterium. RNAcentral's name for it is "partial 16S ribosomal RNA". It matches the Rfam family "Bacterial small subunit ribosomal RNA", at positions 509 to 807 of the family's 1533-position model. The record is from RNAcentral.